Molecule: unclassified non-coding RNA, 345 nt
Filed under: soil metagenome
Description: partial contains 5.8S ribosomal RNA, internal transcribed spacer 2, and large subunit ribosomal RNA
Rfam family: 5.8S ribosomal RNA (bases 1-120)
Source: RNAcentral
GAUGAAGAACGUAGUGAAAUGCGAUACGUAAUGUGAAUUACAGAAUUCAGUGAAUCAUCGAGUCUUUGAACGCACAUUGCGCCCUCUGGUAUUCCGGAGGGCAUGCCUGUCCGAGCGUCAUUGCUGCCCUCAAGCACGGCUUGUGUGUUGGGCUCCGUCCCCCGAUCCCGGGGGGCGGGCCCGAAAGGCAGCGGCGGCACCGCGUCCGGUCCUCGAGCGUAUGGGGCUUUGUCACCCGCUCUGUAGGCCCGGCCGGCGCUUGCCGAUCAACCAAAUUUUUAUCCAGGUUGACCUCGGAUCAGGUAGGGAUACCCGCUGAACUUAAGCAUAUCAAUAAGCGGAGGA